GACGAACGCUGGCGGCGUGCCUAAUACAUGCAAGUAGAACGCACAGUUUAUACCGUAGCUUGCUACACCAUAGACUGUGAGUUGCGAACGGGUGAGUAACGCGUAGGUAACCUGCCUGGUAGCGGGGGAUAACUAUUGGAAACGAUAGCUAAUACCGCAUAAUAUUGAUUAUUGCAUGAUAAUUGAUUGAAAGGUGCUAUUGCAUCACUACCAGAUGGACCUGCGUUGUAUUAGCUAGUAGGUGAGGUAACGGCUCACCUAGGCGACGAUACAUAGCCGACCUGAGAGGGUGAUCGGCCACACUGGGACUGAGACACGGCCCAGACUCCUACGGGAGGCAGCAGUAGGGAAUCUUCGGCAAUGGACGAAAGUCUGACCGAGCAACGCCGCGUGAGUGAAGAAGGUUUUCGGAUCGUAAAGCUCUGUUGUAAGAGAAGAGCGGGUGUGAGAGUGGAAAGUUCACACUGUGACGGUAUCUUACCAGAAAGGGACGGCUAACUACGUG
This 505-nucleotide ribosomal RNA is filed under the name uncultured bacterium. RNAcentral describes it as "partial 16S ribosomal RNA". It matches the Rfam family "Bacterial small subunit ribosomal RNA", at positions 28 to 507 of the family's 1533-position model. The record is from RNAcentral.